This 579-nucleotide ribosomal RNA is filed under the name uncultured bacterium. Its description in RNAcentral is "bacterial SSU rRNA". It matches the Rfam family "Bacterial small subunit ribosomal RNA", at positions 102 to 677 of the family's 1533-position model. The record is from RNAcentral.
ACGGGUGAGUAAUGUCUGGGAAACUGCCUGAUGGAGGGGGAUAACUACUGGAAACGGUAGCUAAUACCGCAUAACGUCGCAAGACCAAAGAGGGGGACCUUCGGGCCUCUUGCCAUCAGAUGUGCCCAGAUGGGAUUAGCUAGUAGGUGGGGUAACGGCUCACCUAGGCGACGAUCCCUAGCUGGUCUGAGAGGAUGACCAGCCACACUGGAACUGAGACACGGUCCAGACUCCUACGGGAGGCAGCAGUGGGGAAUAUUGCACAAUGGGCGCAAGCCUGAUGCAGCCAUGCCGCGUGUAUGAAGAAGGCCUUCGGGUUGUAAAGUACUUUCAGCGGGGAGGAAGGUGUUGCGGUUAAUAACCACAGCAAUUGACGUUACCCGCAGAAGAAGCACCGGCUAACUCCGUGCCAGCAGCCGCGGUAAUACGGAGGGUGCAAGCGUUAAUCGGAAUUACUGGGCGUAAAGCGCACGCAGGCGGUCUGUCAAGUCGGAUGUGAAAUCCCCGGGCUCAACCUGGGAACUGCAUUCGAAACUGGCAGGCUAGAGUCUUGUAGAGGGGGGUAGAAUUCCAGGUGUA